UGAGAAAUGAGGUGUAGGGGUCUUGC
RNAcentral lists this non-coding RNA (26 nucleotides) under Homo sapiens (human). The record is from RNAcentral. Lineage: Eukaryota; Metazoa; Chordata; Mammalia; Primates; Hominidae.